RNAcentral lists this transfer RNA (91 nucleotides) under Candidatus Sysuimicrobiota bacterium CSP1-3. RNAcentral's name for it is "Armatimonadetes bacterium CSP1-3 tRNA-Ser". It matches the Rfam family "tRNA". From Rfam's summary of the family: Transfer RNA (tRNA) molecules are approximately 80 nucleotides in length. Their secondary structure includes four short double-helical elements and three loops (D, anti-codon, and T loops). The record is from RNAcentral. Lineage: Bacteria; Bacillati; Candidatus Sysuimicrobiota.
GGAAGGGUGGCCGAGUCGGUCUAAGGCAGUCGCCUGCUAAGCGACUGACCCUCCAAAAGGGGGUCCGUGGGUUCAAAUCCCACCCCUUCCG